GCAUUGGUGGCUCACUGGUAGAAUUCUCGCCUGCCACGCGAGAGACCUGAGUACGUUUCCUGGCCAAUGCA
Molecule: non-coding RNA, 71 nt
Organism: Danio rerio (zebrafish)
Lineage: Eukaryota; Metazoa; Chordata; Actinopteri; Cypriniformes; Danionidae
Source: Rfam